This 819-nucleotide ribosomal RNA is filed under the name Triticum aestivum (bread wheat). Its description in RNAcentral is "partial small subunit ribosomal RNA". The record is from RNAcentral. Lineage: Eukaryota; Viridiplantae; Streptophyta; Magnoliopsida; Poales; Poaceae.
CGCUUCCGUCCAUCUUCCAAGUUCGGAUGUGCUGAGAACUUCAACAACUUUGUUAAUAAAGUGCUUGAGUGCCGUGAGCAAACCUCACCUCUUCAUGAAUGUCAUGUCCAUUCAUAUCCGGAUGGUAAGGACGAAGUGGCACACCGUGAUGUUGAAUCAUGGGUCCGGUAUGCUGUCUCAUGCCAAGUCUCGGUGCUUCGAGUUCUGAUGUUGGCUGAUGGUCAUUGUAAUUUGGAGCUACCCAACAACGUUGUCAUCUCCAAGCACUUGACAAAUUUAAUGCUUUAUUGUGUGGACUUUGACGAAAGCCCCCUUGAUCUUUUGAGCUGCCAGGCACUAGAGGUGCUAGAUAUAGAUUGUUGUCGUGUCAACCUUGGGGAUAUCUUACCCAAAUCUUUACGACAUCUGAAAAUCGUACAUUCAACCCUUCUUUCCAUGCAUACACCACGGAAUUGUCUUUCUGCUCCAGGUCUGGUUACCUUUGAACUACAGCACUGUGAAGAGUGGACUCCGAUUCUUGAGAGCAUGCCAUCAUUGGCAACAUCAUCUAUCAUUAUUGGCUUUGAAUCCAAAGAUAGUUGUGAUAAUUUUAAGUACCUUGGGGAUUGCGGUGUUGAGGCAUGUGAAGGAUGCUAUGUAGAAGAUGAUUGCUCUGUGCUUCUUGAAGGUCUGUCGGGCGCUACGAAUUUAAAGCUGAUAAGUGAAUAUUCUAUGAUUUUCAGAAAGGACUUGAAAUGGUGCCCUAUGUUUAGCAAGCUAAAAACUGUGUUGCUCAAUGAAUGGUGUUUGACUGCAAACUUCACUGGACUACUUCACUUU